AGUGAACGCUGGCGGCGUGCUUAACACAUGCAAGUCGAACGAGAACGGAUUAUAGCUUGCUAUAAUUGUCAGCUAAGUGGCGCACGGGUGAGUAAUGUAUAGGUAAUAUGCCUCUUACUAAGGGAUAACAAAUGGAAACGUUUGCUAAUACCUUAUACUCCUUAUUAACAGAAGUUAAUAAGGGAAAGAUUUAUUGUUAAGAGAUUAGCCUGUAUUGUAUCAGUUAGUUGGUGGGGUAAUGGCUUACCAAGACUAUGACACAUAACUGGUUUGAGAGGAUGAUCAGUCACACUGGAACUGAGACACGGUCCAGACUCCUACGGGAGGCAGCAGUGGGGGAAUAUUGCACAAUGGACGAAAGUCUGAUGCAGCAACGCCGCGUGGAGGAUGACACAUUUCGGUGCGUAAACUCCUUUUAUAUGAGAAGAUAAUGACGGUAUUAUAUGAAUAAGCACCGGCUAACUCCGUGCCAGCAGCCGACGG
This 483-nucleotide ribosomal RNA is filed under the name uncultured bacterium. RNAcentral's name for it is "bacterial SSU rRNA". It matches the Rfam family "Bacterial small subunit ribosomal RNA", at positions 29 to 520 of the family's 1533-position model. The record is from RNAcentral.